GUAGGGAAUAUUGGUCAAUGGGCGAGGGCCUGAACCAGCCAUGCCGCGUGCAGGAAGACGGCCUUCUGGGUUGUAAACUGCUUUUGGCCGGGAACAAAAAGCCCCUGCGGGGGAAAUUGAGUGUACCGGCAGAAUAAGCACCGGCUAACUCCGUGCCAGCAGCCGCGGUAAUACGGAGGGUGCAAGCGUUGUCCGGAUUUAUUGGGUUUAAAGGGUGCGUAGGCAGGCCAAUAAGUCAGUGGUGAAAGCCCACAGCUCAACUGUGGAACCGCCAUUGAUACUGUUGGCCUUGAGUACCGUUGGGGCAGGCGGAAUUUAUGGUGUAGCGGUGAAAUGCAUAGAUACCAUAAAGAACACCGAUAGCGUAGGCAGCUUGCUAAACGGUAACUGACGCUGAGGCACGAAAGCAUGGGGAGCGAACAGGAUUAGAUACCCUGGUAGUCCAUGCCGUAAACGAUGAUUACCCGAUGUGCGCGAUACACUGUGCGCGUCCAAGCGAAAGCGUUAAGUAAUC
Molecule: ribosomal RNA, 514 nt
Filed under: uncultured bacterium
Lineage: Bacteria
Description: bacterial SSU rRNA
Rfam family: Bacterial small subunit ribosomal RNA
Source: RNAcentral